UUUGAUAAGGAAGAUAACUUUUGGCAGCUGUACGGUGUUUUUCUACGUACCCAAUGCAGAUGAUUGCCCUAGUCUGCUUCUAGCUAGUGAGGUGGAGCUUUCAGAACUGCAGGAUCCCAAUCUUGCUUCAACUAUGAGAGAACAGCAACAUCGAGCCUUAAUUUUGGGAAAAAAUUGGGUAUUAAUCAGCCUGUAUAUCUUGUUAUCAUUAUGCAGAAAAAAAUUGAUUACCAUAUGUUUUAACUCAUUUGUGCACUGAGUAUGGCACAAACAAACUAGAAUUGAUGCGCUUGUUCAAGAUGCAAAUAUACUAAUGGAGCAAAUGGAGAAACAACAAUUCAUUCCAGGCAUCAGGAAUGUCAGGAAUACACUAUGAUUGCAAUCAUGCAUCCCAACUUUCUUGAAUUUCUUCUAUAUAUGGAUGUCGAUUUUGAAGGUA
Molecule: non-coding RNA, 439 nt
Organism: Malus domestica (apple)
Lineage: Eukaryota; Viridiplantae; Streptophyta; Magnoliopsida; Rosales; Rosaceae
Source: RefSeq, a predicted model, not a curated record